UAAAUAUUAGUGUUCAUGCACUUAGAACUUUGAAUUCUACAGCAAUAGAGUAUUCUAUUAUAUUUAA
RNAcentral lists this transfer RNA (67 nucleotides) under Franciscoloa roseicapillae. RNAcentral's name for it is "tRNA-Gln". Lineage: Eukaryota; Metazoa; Arthropoda; Insecta; Psocodea; Menoponidae. The record is from RNAcentral.